UUCAGACAGGAGAGAGCACACCAAACGCACAGACAAAACUAUCCAAAAUAAUCAAAGUAUGGAUCCGUGCUAUCCGGGAUCCUUAAUUUGAAAAUAGUUAAGGUAAGGGUUUAGGGUAGGGACGUCUCAAGGAUCUCAGAUAGCACUGACCAUGAAAGUAUGUGUCAAGGAAAACAUUACACAUUCGUCUUUUGCUUUUAACCCCCCACAUUCAUGCCUGAGGGGUUGGAAGCCAGGGUCAGCCACAGUGCAGUAACCAUGGAGCAGAUUUGGGGGUGAAAUGCUUUGCUCAAGGGCACAUUUGAACGAGCAACCGUCCGGUUUCUGGCGUGCCUCUCUAACCUCAAGGCUACCUGCCGCCCAAGUGUCAGUCAUCCGUCUCUUGCCAGUCCAUGGUGAAGGAGCUGCCGGUGGUGCUGUUGUGACUGUUGUCAUCACAGCAGUCCUCUGCAUCAGAGAAGGAGGACAUGUAGUGGAGGCUGGUGACUCUGUGGUAGCCCCCCUGGAGCACCUUGGGGAGGGCAGUCUGUUCCAUGGCCCUGCGGCUGGUUCUCCUCACCGACACGCUCCACAUGUCAAUCAACUGGGAACACAUGGCACAGCCCAUGGUUGCUUUAUGGAGAGGGACAAACACAGUGGACCUGACACACAAACGGUGGACUUGACACACAGCGGAGGUUAGAUGCUGAUAUACACACACGUUAUGUCACUCAUUCACACAGACAGACACAGGUAACCAUUAGAUACCUGAUGUCACUUAUUGACAGACAGACAGACAUGAGAGUCACUGACACGCACACUUCUUGCACAGUGGCAUAAUCUGACUCAGGCCUCCAGUGAGAGCGUGGACUCAGGCCUCCAGUGAGAGCGUGGACUCAGGCCUCCAGUGAGAGCGUGGACUCAGGCCUCCAGUGAGAGCGUGGACUCAGGCCUCCAGUGAGAGCGCGAGCGUGUUCCCUCAGAAUGUGUUUAUGCCAGCACUCCUAUCUGAACUCUUUGACGAGAGUGAAAGAUGUGUAGCUACAAUAAGAGAACAAACCGAGGGCAUAAAAGAAGAGAAAGUUGGUUGUAUGUCGACUGCAGCGGACAGCUGCCUCACAUCCAGCUCUGAGGUCACCGCUAGUUGAGUCAAAGGGUUAUGGAUGAGCUCCCAGAACUUUCUCUUCUCUCUCUUUUAGUACAGAUCAGAUGAGGACAGGCAGCCACACAAUGUCAAUAUUUACAUCAGCUCCAUCCGUUCCAAGAUGGACUGUGAUGAGAAGCCGAGCUCAGCCCCUAGACAGAGGACAAUAUAUAGGGUAGCUUAUGCUUCAGUGAUUCUUAAUUCUGCACUAGAGAUAUCAGAUAUAGUCUGAUCUAGAAAGUCCUUCUCUAGUGCCAGUAAGGAGGGGAAGUGUUGGACAAUGCUGCUACUCAUUGUUUAUUGUCUUUGCAUAGUCACUUCACCCCUACCUACAUGUACAAAUUACCUCAACUAACCUGUACCCCUGCAUACUGACUCGGUGCCGGUACCCGCUGUAUAGAGCAUUGCUAUUGUUAUUUUGGGUAUUUUCUUAACUCUUCUUGAACUGCAGUGUUGAUUAAGGGCUUGUAAGUAAGCAUUUCACAGUAAGGUCUACACUUGUUGUAUUCAGUGCAUGUGACAAAUAAAGUUUGAUUUGAUUGGA
Long non-coding RNA from Oncorhynchus masou masou (cherry salmon), 1667 nucleotides. RefSeq lists it as uncharacterized. The record is from RefSeq and is a predicted model, not a curated record. The transcript has 2 exons. NCBI's taxonomy places the organism in Eukaryota, Metazoa, Chordata, Actinopteri, Salmoniformes, Salmonidae.